RNAcentral lists this ribosomal RNA (253 nucleotides) under uncultured bacterium. RNAcentral's name for it is "partial 16S ribosomal RNA". It matches the Rfam family "Bacterial small subunit ribosomal RNA", at positions 524 to 776 of the family's 1533-position model. The record is from RNAcentral.
UACGAACUGUGCAAACGUUAUUCGGAAUCACUGGGCGUAAAGGGUGCGUAGGUGGUUGGGUAAGUUUGAUGUGAAAUCUCCGGGCUUAACCCGGAAACUGCAUUGAAUACUAUCUGGCUAGAGGGUUGGAGGGGGGACUGGAAUACUUGGUGUAGCAGUGAAAUGCGUAGAUAUCAAGUGGAACACCAGUGGCGAAGGCGAGUCCCUGGACAACUCCUGACACUGAGGCACGAAAGCUAGGGGAGCAAACAGG